AAAUAAACCAGAUGGGAGCGGCAUCUUUUUUGGCUGCCUUUCGACUCCGCUCAGGAUGGCAGGCUAAAAGAUACAGCGUACAGCGGGACUACCA
This 94-nucleotide small RNA is filed under the name Pedobacter sp. SG908. Its description in RNAcentral is "Flavo-1 RNA". It matches the Rfam family "Flavo-1 RNA". The record is from RNAcentral. Lineage: Bacteria; Pseudomonadati; Bacteroidota; Sphingobacteriia; Sphingobacteriales; Sphingobacteriaceae. RNAcentral also lists the same sequence under 1 other name.